This 435-nucleotide ribosomal RNA is filed under the name uncultured bacterium. RNAcentral describes it as "bacterial SSU rRNA". It matches the Rfam family "Bacterial small subunit ribosomal RNA", at positions 355 to 786 of the family's 1533-position model. The record is from RNAcentral.
UGAGGAAUAUUGGUCAAUGGGCGAGAGCCUGAACCAGCCAAGUCGCGUGAGGGAAGACGGUCCUACGGAUUGUAAACCUCUUUGUCGGGGAGCAAUAAGGCGUACGAGUACGCAGAUGCGAGUACCCGAAGAAAAAGCAUCGGCUAACUCCGUGCCAGCAGCCGCGGUAAUACGGAGGAUGCGAGCGUUAUCCGGAUUUAUUGGGUUUAAAGGGUGCGCAGGCGGAAAGUGCAAGUCAGCGGUCAAACGACGGGGCUCAACCCCGUCUCGCCGUUGCAAACUGUCAUUUCUUAGAGUGAGCGAGAAGUAUGCGGAAUGCGUGGUGUAGCGGUGAAAUGCAUAGAUAUCACGCAGAACUCCGAUUGCGAAGGCAGCAUACCGGCGCUCAACUGACGCUCAUGUACGAAAGCGUGGUAUCGAACAGGAUUAGAUACC